UGAUGCAGCAAUGCCGCGUGAGUGAAGAAGGCCCUUGGGUCGUAAAGCUCUUUUAUGGGGGAAGAUGAUGACGGUACCCCAAGAAUAAGCACCGGCUAACUACGUGCCAGCAGCCGCGGUAAUACGUAGGGUGCGAGCGUUGUUCGGAAUUACUGGGCGUAAAGGGCGCGCAGGCGGAAUAGCAAGUCGGAGGUGAAAGCCCGGGGCUCAACCCCGGAGGGUCUUUCGAAACUGCUAAUCUAGAGAGGGUCAGGGGCCAGCAGAAUUCCUGGUGUAGAGGUGAAAUUCGUAUAUAUCGGUAGGAAUACCGGUGGCGAAAGCGGCUGGCUGGGGCCACUCUGACGCUGAGGCGCGAAAGCGUGGGGAGCAAACAGGAUUAGAUACCCUGGUAGUCCACGCCGUAAACGAUGAGCACUGGACGUCCGGAGGGUUCGACCCUUCUGGGUGUCUCAGCUAACGCAUUAAGUGCUCCGCCUGGGGAGUACGGUCGCAAGACUA
RNAcentral lists this ribosomal RNA (498 nucleotides) under uncultured delta proteobacterium. RNAcentral's name for it is "bacterial SSU rRNA". It matches the Rfam family "Bacterial small subunit ribosomal RNA", at positions 384 to 896 of the family's 1533-position model. Lineage: Bacteria; Deltaproteobacteria. The record is from RNAcentral.